GGUGAGUGACAAAUCUGCCAAAGGCAGAUUUGAACGCUGCUUGCAGCGGCCCCAGCGGGGCGAGGCACACGCAAGUGUGCCGAGUAUCGCAGCCAACACACAUGCAAC
Molecule: small RNA, 108 nt
Rfam family: Aggregatibacter sRNA 22
Source: Rfam